CCUACGGGUGGCAGCAGUCGGGAAUAUUGCGCAAUGGAGGAAACUCUGACGCAGUGACGCCGCGUGCAGGAAGAAGGUUUUCGGAUUGUAAACUUCUGUUCUUAGUGAAGAAUAAUGACGGUAGCUAAGGAGCAAGCCACGGCUAACUACGUGCCAGCAGCCGCGGUAAUACGUAGGUGGCAAGCGUUGUCCGGAAUUACUGGGUGGAAAGGGAGCGCAGGAGGGAAGCCAAGUCAGCUGUGAAAACUACGGGCUUAACUUGUAGACUGCAGUUGAAACUGGUUUUCUUGAGUGAAGUAGAGGUUGGCGGAAUUCCGAGUGUAGCGGUGAAAUGCGUAGAUAUUCGGAGGAACACCGGUGGCGAAGGCGGCCAACUGGGCUUUAACUGACGCUGAGGCUCGAAAGUGUGGGGAGCAAACAGGAUUAGAUACCCUGGUAAUC
Molecule: ribosomal RNA, 441 nt
Filed under: uncultured bacterium
Lineage: Bacteria
Description: partial 16S ribosomal RNA
Rfam family: Bacterial small subunit ribosomal RNA
Source: RNAcentral